Molecule: ribosomal RNA, 283 nt
Filed under: Chloroflexota bacterium
Lineage: Bacteria; Bacillati; Chloroflexota
Description: Chloroflexi bacterium partial 16S ribosomal RNA
Rfam family: Bacterial small subunit ribosomal RNA
Source: RNAcentral
GACGGAGAGUUUGAUCCUGGCUCAGGGUUAACGCUGGCGGCGCGCAUAACACAUGCAAGUCGAGCGAGGGCUUAUUUCUCGCAAGAGAGAUGAGUUCCUAGCGGCGAACGGGUGAGUAACACGUGGGCAACCUUUCCUAUCGCGGGGGAUAACACCGGGAAACCGAUGCUAAUACCGCAUGUCGUCACCGGUCGCAUGGCUGGUGAAGAAAGCAGCAAUGCACGAUGGGGUGGGCCCGCGGCCUAUCAGCUAGUCGGUGGGGUAACGGCCUACCGAGGCGAUG